GAUGAACGCUGGCGGCGUGCCUAAUACAUGCAAGUCGAGCGAACGGACGAGAAGCUUGCUUCUCUGAUGUUAGCGGCGGACGGGUGAGUAACACGUGGAUAACCUACCUAUAAGACUGGGAUAACUUCGGGAAACCGUAGCUAAUACCGGAUAAUAUUUUGAACCGCAUGGUUCAAAAGUGAAAAACGGUCUUGCUGUCACUUAUAGAUGGAUCCGCGCUGCAUUAGCUAGUUGGUAAGGUAACGGCUUACCAAGGCAACGAUGCAUAGCCGACCUGAGAGGGUGAUCGGCCACACUGGAACUGAGACACGGUCCAGACUCCUACGGGAGGCAGCAGUAGGGAAUCUUCCGCAAUGGGCGAAAGCCUGACGGAGCAACGCCGCGUGAGUGAUGAAGGUCUUCGGAUCGUAAAACUCUGUUAUUAGGGAAGAACAUAUGUGUAAGUAACUGUGCACAUCUUGACGGUACCUAAUCAGAAAGCCACGGCUAACUACGUG
Molecule: ribosomal RNA, 497 nt
Filed under: uncultured bacterium
Lineage: Bacteria
Description: partial 16S ribosomal RNA
Rfam family: Bacterial small subunit ribosomal RNA
Source: RNAcentral